UUUUGUUGAGUGUUCAACUUCCAUGAUUUGUGAAAUUCUUAUGCCUUAUCCUAUGAGCUUGAAAUUUUACAUAUGUUUUCUAGACACAUUGAAGUUCAUUUUGGUUUUGGUUUAGAUCAUUUCUCAUUUGUUAUCACUGUUUUAUGCUUGUGUGAAGUUGGUGUACCAUUUGUGGUCUUGUUUGAGUUGGUUUUUGUAUACCAUGACUUGAUGAAUUUAAU
RNAcentral lists this long non-coding RNA (221 nucleotides) under Lathyrus oleraceus (garden pea). RNAcentral describes it as "Pisum sativum (pea) long non-coding RNA (PSAT_LNC036091)". Lineage: Eukaryota; Viridiplantae; Streptophyta; Magnoliopsida; Fabales; Fabaceae. The record is from RNAcentral.